RNAcentral lists this ribosomal RNA (481 nucleotides) under uncultured bacterium. Its description in RNAcentral is "bacterial SSU rRNA". It matches the Rfam family "Archaeal small subunit ribosomal RNA", at positions 745 to 1224 of the family's 1478-position model. The record is from RNAcentral.
UCCCAGCCGUAAACGAUGCUCGCUAGGUGUCAGGCGCGGUGCGACCGCACCUGGUGCCGCAGUGAAAACCUGAAGCGAGUCACCUGGGAAGUACGGUCGCAAGGCUGAAACUUAAAGGAAUUGGCGGGGGAGCACUACAACGGGUGGAGCCUGCGGUUCAAUUGGAUUCAACGCCGGAAAGCUUACCGGGUCAGACAGCAUUAUGAAGGUCAGGCUAAAGACCUUACCGAAUUCGCUGAGAGGAGGUGCAUGGCCGUCGUCAGUUCGUAUCGUGAGACAUCCUGUUAAGUCAGGCAACGAGCAAGACCCGUGCCCACAGUUGCCAGCAUACCCUCCGGGGUGAUGGGCACACUGUGGGGACCGCCGCUGCUAAAGCGGAGGAAGGAGCGGGCUACGGUAGGUCAGUAUGCCCCGAAUCAUCCGGGCUACACGCGGGCUACAAUGGUUGGGACAAGUGGGCACCUACACCGAGAGGUGAUGG